AGAGUUUGAUCAUGGCUCAGAUUGAACGCUGGCGGCAGGCCUAACACAUGCAAGUCGAACGGUAACAGGAAGAAGCUUGCUUCUUUGCUGACGAGUGGCGGACGGGUGAGUAAUGUCUGGGAAACUGCCUGAUGGAGGGGGAUAACUACUGGAAACGGUAGCUAAUACCGCAUAACGUCGCAAGACCAAAGAGGGGGACCUUCGGGCCUCUUGCCAUCGGAUGUGCCCAGAUGGGAUUAGCUUGUUGGUGGGGUAACGGCUCACCAAGGCGACGAUCCCUAGCUGGUCUGAGAGGAUGACCAGCCACACUGGAACUGAGACACGGUCCAGACUCCUACGGGAGGCAGCAGUGGGGAAUAUUGCACAAUGGGCGCAAGCCUGAUGCAGCCAUGCCGCGUGUAUGAAGAAGGCCUUCGGGUUGUAAAGUACUUUCAGCGGGGAGGAAGGGAGUAAAGUUAAUACCUUUGCUCAUUGACGUUACCCGCAGAAGAAGCACCGGCUAACUCCGUGCCAGCAGCCGCGGUAAUACGGAGGGUGCAAGCGUUAAUCGGAAUUACUGGGCGUAAAGCGCACGCAGGCGGUUUGUUAAGUCAGAUGUGAAAUCCCCGGGCUCAACCUGGGAACUGCAUCUGAUACUGGCAAGCUUGAGUCUCGUAGAGGGGGGUAGAAUUCCAGGUGUAGCGGUGAAAUGCGUAGAGAUCUGGAGGAAUACC
This 713-nucleotide ribosomal RNA is filed under the name uncultured bacterium. RNAcentral's name for it is "bacterial SSU rRNA". It matches the Rfam family "Bacterial small subunit ribosomal RNA", at positions 8 to 710 of the family's 1533-position model. The record is from RNAcentral.